GAUGAACGCUGGCUACAGGCUUAACACAUGCAAGUCGAGGGGAAACGGCAUUGAGUGCUUGCACUGAAUGGACGUCGACCGGCGCACGGGUGAGUAACGCGUAUCCAACCUUCCCGUUACUGCGGGAUAACCUGCCGAAAGGCAGACUAAUACCGCAUGUUCUUCGAUGACGGCAUCAGAUUCGAAGCAAAGAUCCGUCGGUAACGGAGGGGGAUGCGUCUGAUUAGCUAGUUGGCGGGGCGACGGCCCACCAAGGCGACGAUCAGUAGGGGUUCUGAGAGGAAGGUCCCCCACAUUGGAACUGAGACACGGUCCAAACGCCUACGGGAGGCAGCAGUGAGGAAUAUUGGGCAAUGGGCGGAAGCCUGAACCAGCCAAGUAGCGUGCAGGAGGACGGCCCUACGGGUUGUAAACUGCUUUUAUGCGGGGAUAAAGUGAGGGACGCGUCCCUUUUUGCAGGUACCGCAUGAAUAAGGACCGGCUAAUUCCGUG
RNAcentral lists this ribosomal RNA (492 nucleotides) under uncultured bacterium. Its description in RNAcentral is "partial 16S ribosomal RNA". It matches the Rfam family "Bacterial small subunit ribosomal RNA", at positions 28 to 507 of the family's 1533-position model. The record is from RNAcentral.